RNAcentral lists this ribosomal RNA (468 nucleotides) under uncultured bacterium. Its description in RNAcentral is "partial 16S ribosomal RNA". It matches the Rfam family "Bacterial small subunit ribosomal RNA", at positions 28 to 507 of the family's 1533-position model. The record is from RNAcentral.
GACGAACGCUGGCGGCGUGCUUAACACAUGCAAGUCGAACGGAAAGGCCCUGCUUUUGUGGGGUGCUCGAGUGGCGAACGGGUGAGUAACACGUGAGUAACCUACUCUUUACUUUGGGAUAACUUCAGGAAUCUGGGGCUAAUACCUGAUAGGAGCUCCUGCUGCAUGGUGGGGGUUGGAAUGUUUCGGCGGUUGGGGAUGGACUCGCGGCUUGUCUGCUUGGUGGUGGGGUAGUGGCUUACCAAGGCUUUGACGCGUAGCCGGCCUGGGAGGGUGACCGGCCAAGUUAGGCCGGGAAUGAGGCACGGACUCCUCCGGGAGGCAGCGGAGGAGAAUAGUGCACUAUGGGAGGGAGGCUACUGCGGCAAAGCCGCGUGCGGGGUGACGACAAUCGGGUUGUAAUGCGAAUUCGCCUGUGACGGAGCGUGGGUGACGGUAAUGGGAAAAGAAGCACCGGCUAACUACGUG